This 112-nucleotide ribosomal RNA is filed under the name uncultured bacterium. RNAcentral's name for it is "partial 16S ribosomal RNA". It matches the Rfam family "Bacterial small subunit ribosomal RNA", at positions 1373 to 1482 of the family's 1533-position model. The record is from RNAcentral.
CCCGGGCCUUGUACACACCGCCCGUCACACCACGAGAGUUUGCAACACCCGAAGUCGGUGGGGUAACCCUUACGGGAGCCAGCCGCCGAAGGUGGGGCAGAUGAUUGGGGUG